This 253-nucleotide ribosomal RNA is filed under the name uncultured bacterium. RNAcentral describes it as "partial 16S ribosomal RNA". It matches the Rfam family "Bacterial small subunit ribosomal RNA", at positions 524 to 776 of the family's 1533-position model. The record is from RNAcentral.
UACGAAGGGUGCAAACGUUGCUCGGAAUCAUUGGGCGUAAAGCGCACGUAGGCGGCUUCGCAAGUCGGAUGUGAAAUCCCGUGGCUCAACCAUGGACGUGCAUCCGAAACUGCGAGGCUUGAGUAUGGAAGAGGGUCGCGGAAUUCCCGGUGUAGAGGUGAAAUUCGUAGAUAUCGGGAGGAACAUCAGUGGCGAAGGCAGCACUCUGGGACGGUACUGACGCUGAGACGCGAAAGCGUGGGGAGCGAACAGG